GCGGCGAACGGGUGAGUGAGAGCUGGGAAUCUGCCCAUGGGAGAGGGAUAGCCACUGGAAACGGUGGGUAAAACCGCAUGACAUCGAGAGAUCAAAGUGUCGCCUCUUGAAAAAGAGGCCGCAGCCCAUGGAUGAGCCCCAGCGAAGAUUAGCUAGUAGGUGCGGUAAUGGCGUACCUAGGCAACGAUCUUGAGCUGGUCUGAGAGGAUGUCCAGCCACACUGGGACUGAGAUACGGCCCAG
This 242-nucleotide ribosomal RNA is filed under the name uncultured bacterium. RNAcentral's name for it is "partial 16S ribosomal RNA". It matches the Rfam family "Bacterial small subunit ribosomal RNA", at positions 95 to 334 of the family's 1533-position model. The record is from RNAcentral.